RNAcentral lists this ribosomal RNA (331 nucleotides) under uncultured bacterium. RNAcentral describes it as "bacterial SSU rRNA". It matches the Rfam family "Bacterial small subunit ribosomal RNA", at positions 28 to 357 of the family's 1533-position model. The record is from RNAcentral.
GAUGAACGCUAGCUACAGGCUUAACACAUGCAAGUCGAGGGGCAGCACAGUGUAGCAAUACACGGGUGGCGACCGGCGCACGGGUGCGUAACGCGUAUCCAACCUUCCCGAUACUCUUGGAUAGCCUUCCGAAAGGGAGAUUAAUACAAGAUGGUGUUUCAAUUCCGCAUGUUAUUGAACUAAAGAUUUGUCGGUAUCGGAUGGGAUGCGUGACAUUAGGAUAGUAGGCGGGUAACGGCCCACUAGUCUACGAUGUCUAGGGGUUCUGAGAGGAAGGUCCCCCCANACUGGAACUGAGACACGGUCCAGACUCCUACGGGAGCAGCAGUGA